AGAAUCAACGCUGGCGGCGUGCCUAACACAUGCAAGUCGAACGAGAAAGUGGAGCAAUCCAUGAGUAAAGUGGCGACCGGGUGAGUAACACGUGACUAACCUACCUUCAAGUGGGGGAUAACCUCGGGAAACCGGGGCUAAUACCGCAUAAUAUCUCUGGAGCGGAAGAACUGGAGAUCAAAGGAGCAAUUCGCUGGAAGAGGGGGUCGCGGCUGAUUAGUUAGUUGGCGGGGUAAUGGCCCACCAAGACAGAGAUCGGUAGCCGGCCUGAGAGGGCGCACGGCCACACUGGAACUGAAACACGGUCCAGACUCCUACGGGAGGCAGCAGUGGGGAAUUUUGCGCAAUGGGGGAAACCCUGACGCAGCAACGCCGCGUGGAGGAUGAAGUCCCUUGGGACGUAAACUCCUUUCGACCGGGACGAUAAUGACGGUACCGGUGGAAGAAGCCCCGGCUAACUUCGUGCCAGCAGCCGC
RNAcentral lists this ribosomal RNA (476 nucleotides) under uncultured bacterium. Its description in RNAcentral is "SSU rRNA". It matches the Rfam family "Bacterial small subunit ribosomal RNA", at positions 26 to 518 of the family's 1533-position model. The record is from RNAcentral.